This 1401-nucleotide ribosomal RNA is filed under the name human gut metagenome. RNAcentral describes it as "bacterial LSU rRNA". It matches the Rfam family "Bacterial large subunit ribosomal RNA", at positions 1154 to 2525 of the family's 2925-position model. The record is from RNAcentral.
UGACUCCGCGCCGAAAAUACACCGGGACUAAAGCAUAUAACCGAAGCUGCGUCAUAUAGUUUACUAUAUGGGUAGGGGAGCGUACUGUAGUAAGACGAAGCUAGAGUGAAAACACUAGUGGAUGAGGCAGUAGUGAGAAUGUCGGCAUAAGUAGCGAAAACAUUGGUGAGAAUCCAAUGCACCGAAAACCUAAGGUUUCCCACGGCAGGCUCGUCCGCGUGGGGUUAGUCGGAUCCUAAGCUCAGGCCAAACGGCGUAGGCGAUGGACAAUAGGUUGAUAUUCCUAUACUAUCUGAUAAUCGUUAUCAGAAGCGGAGGGACGCAAGAGGAUAAGCACGCAGUCGACUGGAAGAGACUGUAUAAGCGUGUAGCUAGGUUUGACAGGAAAAUCCGUCAAAUCGUUAAUGUGAGGCGUGAUGUGGAGAGUCUACGGACUCGAAGGUGUUGACUCCAAAUUGCCAAGAAAAUCUUCGCUCUCGAGAUUAUUGGGUAUCCGUACCGUAAACCGCCACAGGUAGGUUGGUAGAAAAUACUAAGGUGCGCGAGACAACUCUCGCUAAGGAACUCGGCAAAAUCACCUCGUAACUUCGGGAGAAGAGGUACCCUGGUAGCGUGAAGCGAUUUACUCGUGAAGCGUGAUAGGGUCGCAGUGAAUAGGCCCAAGCGACUGUUUACCAAAAACACAGGUCUCUGCUAAGUCGAUCAAGACGAUGUAUAGGGGCUGACGCCUGCCCGGUGUCGGAAGGUUACGCGGAAAUGUUAGAAGCAAUUCAAAGCAUCGAAGCUAAGCCCCGAUGAACGGCGGCCGUAACUAUAACGGUCCUAAGGUAGCGAAAUUCCUUGUCAGGUAAGUUCUGACCCGCACGAAUGGCGUAACGAUUUGGGCGCUGUCUCGGCGAGAGGCUCGGCGAAAUUGGAUUAUCCGUGAAGAUACGGAUUACGUGUACCAGGACAGAAAGACCCUAUUGAGCUUUACUGUAGCUUGAAAUUGAAUUCGGGUUCUCAUUGCGCAGUAUAGGUGGGAGACUAUGAAGCUUGAACUUUGGUUUAAGUGGAGUCAUCGUUGAGAUACCACUCUGUGAAAAUUUGGAUUCUAACCUUGAUCCCUCAAAGAACAGGGCAAGGGACAGUUUCUGGUAGGCAGUUUGACUGGGGCGGUCGCCUCCUAAAAAGUAACGGAGGCGUUCAAAGGUUCCCUCAGGUUGGUCGGAAAUCAACCGUUGAGUGCAAUAGCAAAAGGGAGCUUGACUGUGAGACCUACAAGUCGAGCAGGUACGAAAGUAGGAUAUAGUGAUCCGGUGGUUCUGUAUGGAAGGGCCAUCGCUCAUCGGAUAAAAGUUACCAUAGGGAUAACAGGCUUAUCUCCCCCAAGAGUCCACAUCGACGGGGAGGUUUGGCACC